RNAcentral lists this ribosomal RNA (253 nucleotides) under uncultured bacterium. RNAcentral describes it as "partial 16S ribosomal RNA". It matches the Rfam family "Bacterial small subunit ribosomal RNA", at positions 524 to 776 of the family's 1533-position model. The record is from RNAcentral.
UACGGAGGGUGCGAGCGUUGUCCGGAAUCACUGGGCGUAAAGGGCGCGUAGGCGGCCACGCACGUCCGUUGUGAAAUCGCCCGGCUCGACUGGGCGGGGUCAGCGGAUACGGCAGAGCUUGAGCAAGCUAGGGGGCAAUGGAAUUCCCGGUGUAGUGGUGGAAUGCGUAGAUAUCGGGAGGAACACCAGUGGCGAAGGCGGUUGCCUGGGGCUUUGCUGACGCUGAUGCGCGAAAGCGUGGGGAGCGAUCCGG